Molecule: ribosomal RNA, 788 nt
Filed under: Enterobacter cloacae
Lineage: Bacteria; Pseudomonadati; Pseudomonadota; Gammaproteobacteria; Enterobacterales; Enterobacteriaceae
Description: bacterial SSU rRNA
Rfam family: Bacterial small subunit ribosomal RNA
Source: RNAcentral
UGCAAGUCGAGCGGUAACACAGAGAGCUUGCUCCCGGGUGACGAGCGGCGGACGGGUGAGUAAUGUCUGGGAAACUGCCUGAUGGAGGGGGAUAACUACUGGAAACGGUAGCUAAUACCGCAUAACGUCGCAGACCAAAGAGGGGGACCUUCGGGCCUCUUGCCAUCACAUGUGCCCAGAUGGGAUUAGCUAGUAUGUGGGGUAACGGCUCACCUAGGCGACAAUCCCUAUCUGGUCUGAGAGGAUGACCAGCCACACUGGAACUGAGACACGGUCCACACUCCUACGGGAGGCAGCAGUGGGGAAUAUUGCACAAUGGGCGCAAGCCUGAUGCACCCAUGCCGCGUGUAUGAAAAAAGCCUUCGGGUUGUAAAGUACUUUCAGCGGGGAGGAAGGUGUUGAGGUUAAUAACCUCACCAAUUGACGUUACCCGCACAAAAAACACCGGCUAACUCCGUGCCAGCAGCCGCGGUAAUACGGAGGGUGCAAGCGUUAAUCGGAAUUACUGGGCGUAAAGCGCACGCACGCGGUCUGUCAAGUCUGAUGUGAAAUCCCCGGGCUCAACCUGGGAACUGCAUUCUAAACUGGCAGGCUAUAGUCUUGUAUAGGGGGGUAGAAUUCCAGGUGUAUCGGUGAAAUGCGUAUAGAUCUGGAGGAAUACCGGUGGCGAAAGCGGCCCCCCUGGACAAAGACUGACGCUCGGUGCGAAAGCGUGGGGAGCAAACAGGAUUAUAUACCCUGGUAGUCCACGCCGUAAACGAUGUCGACUUGGAGGUUGUGCCCUUGAG